GAUGAACGCUGGCGGCGUGCCUAAUACAUGCAAGUCGAGCGAAGCGGGGACGGGUGAGUAAAACGUGGGUGACCUCCUAUAAGACUGGGGUAACCUCGGGGAACCGGAGCUAAAACGGAUACUUUUACAUGGAUCCGCGCGGCAUUAGCUAGUGGGUAAGGUAACGGCUUACCAAGGCAACGAUGCAUAGCCGACCUGAGAGGGUGACCAGCCACACUGGAACUGAGACACGGUCCAGACUCCUACGGGAGGCAGCAGUAGGGAAUCUUCCGCAAUGGGCGAAAGCCUGACGGAGCAACGCCGCGUGAGUGAUGAAGGUCUUCGGAUCGUAAAACUCUGUUAUUAGGGAAGCGGUACCUAAUCAGAAAGCCACGGCUAACUACGUGCCAGCAGCCGCGGUAAUUC
This 405-nucleotide ribosomal RNA is filed under the name uncultured bacterium. RNAcentral's name for it is "partial 16S ribosomal RNA". It matches the Rfam family "Bacterial small subunit ribosomal RNA", at positions 28 to 526 of the family's 1533-position model. The record is from RNAcentral.